AGUGAACGCUGGCGGCGUGCUUAACACAUGCAAGUCGAACGAGAACGGAUUAUAGCUUGCUAUAAUUGUCAGCUAAGUGGCGCACGGGUGAGUAAUGUAUAGGUAAUAUGCCUCUUACUAAGGGAUAACAAAUGGAAACGUUUGCUAAUACCUUAUACUCCUUAUUAACAUAAGUUAAUAAGGGAAAGAUUUAUUGGUAAGAGAUUAGCCUGUAUUGUAUCAGUUAGUUGGUGGGGUAAUGGCUUACCAAGACUAUGACACAUAACUGGUUUGAGAGGAUGAUCAGUCACACUGGAACUGAGACACGGCCCAGACUCCUACGGGAGGCAGCAGUGGGGAAUAUUGCACAAUGGACGAAAGUCUGAUGCAGCAACGCCGCGUGGAGGAUGACACAUUUCGGUGCGUAAACUCCUUUUAUAUGAGAAGAUAAUGACGGUAUUAUAUGAAUAAGCACCGGCUAACUCCGUGCCAGCCGCCGCGGUAA
Molecule: ribosomal RNA, 484 nt
Filed under: uncultured bacterium
Lineage: Bacteria
Description: partial 16S ribosomal RNA
Rfam family: Bacterial small subunit ribosomal RNA
Source: RNAcentral